AGAGUUUGAUCCUGGCUCAGGACGAACGCUGGCGGCGUGCCUAAUACAUGCAAGUAGAACGCUGAAGAGAGGAGCUUGCUCUUCUUGGAUGAGUUGCGAACGGGUGAGUAACGCGUAGGUAACCUGCCUUGUAGCGGGGGAUAACUAUUGGAAACGAUAGCUAAUACCGCAUAACAAUGGAUGACACAUGUCAUUUAUUUGAAAGGGGCAAUUGUUCCACUACAAGAUGGACCUGCGUUGUAUUAGCUAGUAGGUGAGGUAAUGGCUCACCUAGGCGACGAUACAUAGCCGACCUGAGAGGGUGAUCGGCCACACUGGGACUGAGACACGGCCCAGACUCCUACGGGAGGCAGCAGUAGGGAAUCUUCGGCAAUGGGGGCAACCCUGACCGAGCAACGCCGCGUGAGUGAAGAAGGUUUUCGGAUCGUAAAGCUCUGUUGUAAGUCAAGAACGGGUGUGAGAGUGGAAAGUUCACACUGUGACGGUAGCUUACCAGAAAGGGACGGCUAACUACGUGCCAGCAGCCGCGGUAAUACGUAGGUCCCGAGCGUUGUCCAGAUUUAUUGGGCGUAAAGCGAGCGCAGGCGGUUUGAUAAGUCUGAAGUUAAAGGCUGUGGCUCAACCAUAGUUCGCUUUGGAAACUGUCAAACUUGAGUGCAGAAGGGGAGAGUGGAAUUCCAUGUGUAGCGGUGAAAUGCGUAGAUAUAUGGAGGAACACCGGUGGCGAAAGCGGCUCUCUGGUCUGUAACUGACGCUGAGGCUCGAAAGCGUGGGGAGCGAACAGGAUUAGAUACCCUGGUAGUCCACGCCGUAAACGAUGAGUGCUAGGUGUUGGAUCCUUUCCGGGAUUCAGUGCCGCAGCUAACGCAUUAAGCACUCCGCCUGGGGAGUACGACCGCAAGGUUGAAACUCAAAGGAAUUGACGGGGGCCCGCACAAGCGGUGGAGCAUGUGGUUUAAUUCGAAGCAACGCGAAGAACCUUACCAGGUCUUGACAUCCCGAUGCUAUUUCUAGAGAUAGAAAGUUACUUCGGUACAUCGGUGACAGGUGGUGCAUGGUUGUCGUCAGCUCGUGUCGUGAGAUGUUGGGUUAAGUCCCGCAACGAGCGCAACCCCUAUUGUUAGUUGCCAUCAUUCAGUUGGGCACUCUAGCGAGACUGCCGGUAAUAAACCGGAGGAAGGUGGGGAUGACGUCAAAUCAUCAUGCCCCUUAUGACCUGGGCUACACACGUGCUACAAUGGUUGGUACAACGAGUUGCGAGUCGGUGACGGCGAGCUAAUCUCUUAAAGCCAAUCUCAGUUCGGAUUGUAGGCUGCAACUCGCCUACAUGAAGUCGGAAUCGCUAGUAAUCGCGGAUCAGCACGCCGCGGUGAAUACGUUCCCGGGCCUUGUACACACCGCCCGUCACACCACGAGAGUUUGUAACACCCGAAGUCGGUGAGGUAACCUUUUGGAGCCAGCCGCCUAAGGUGGGACAGAUGAUUGGGGUGAAGUCGUAACAAGGUA
This 1506-nucleotide ribosomal RNA is filed under the name metagenome. RNAcentral's name for it is "bacterial SSU rRNA". It matches the Rfam family "Bacterial small subunit ribosomal RNA". The record is from RNAcentral.